MicroRNA precursor from Oryza rufipogon (brownbeard rice), 209 nucleotides. It matches the Rfam family "MIR812 microRNA precursor family". Lineage: Eukaryota; Viridiplantae; Streptophyta; Magnoliopsida; Poales; Poaceae. The record is from Rfam.
AAUAAGUGCAGUUUUGCACUAUUCAUGUUCGACGUUUGACCGUCCGUCUUAUUUGAAAAUUUUUUAUGAUUAGUAUUUUUAUUGCUAUUAGAUGAUAAAACAUGAAUAGUACUUUAUGUGUGACUAAAUGUUUUUAAUUUUUUCACAAAUUUUUCAAAUAAGACGGACGGUCAAACGUUGAACAUGAAUAGUGCAAAACUGCACUUAUU